AACUCAAGACAAUCCUUGGUUCAUCAUCAAUCAUCUUGUUCACAUAAAAAUUUUUCCUUCUCCAAUCUCAACGUUUCUCUCUCUUGUUCAUCCGUUGUAUGUUGGUACAGGCUUCCAUUAAUCUAGCUCACCUGGUGUCAAUGUUCCCGAAGUUUGAAGCAUAACAUGAAUUUGUGAACUAUGUGUAGUCAAAGGCCAAACUUAAAGCCCAACACCUCCACACCACCUCCUCCUAGCCUACACCACACCACUACCUUAUCCUUCACUCCAUCUCAGAAAAUUUAGAGUUCCUGAUUGUAGGAGGUUCGGUAGAACCCGAAUGAAGUUCGCCUAAACCACAACUAAGUUCGACCGGUUCUUUUUCAGGUUCGUCCGAACAUUUGAACGGUUUGGUUGUACGGAAUUAAUGAAGCUUGACGGCUACGAUUAAUUGAAAAUUGAGCAACAAAUUUGGUCCUUCGAAUUUAAUUCGACGGUGAUGGAUGAUGUUGAUCGAUCGGCGGUGAGGUGAUGAUGGAUUGAUGAUGAAGAUCAAUCGUUGAUGAUGGAAGAUGCACGGUGAUGAUGCUGAUGAUGAUGGACGAUGAACAGUGGUGAUGAGGGAAAAGAUGGAGCAGCGAAGAAGAAGAAGGGGCCGCGAAGGUGGAGAGUAAGUGCGAAGGAGGGAGCAAAAACCCAAUUAAUUUAGGGUAAAAUGGACGAAGAGGAAGGGGACGAAAAAAAAGGCAAAAGAGGAGAGGAGGGUCUCAUUUGUUUUGGGGGAAAACAAAAGCUACGGGGUCUGCUACUACUGGGAUCCCCUUACAUUUUUAAUUUCCAUUUUCUUCAUUUUCUUUCCCCCUUUUAAUCUUUUCUCUUUUAUUCUUUUUCAUUUUUUCUUUAUUUUAUUUUAUUUUCUUUUAGGAAAUUUUGUGAAACACUACCUUAAUGUUUGUACGUUUUGUGAAUUACUACCUUAUAAAAACUUUUUUAUAUUUUCCUA
This is a long non-coding RNA of Spinacia oleracea (spinach), 982 nucleotides long. RefSeq lists it as uncharacterized. The record is from RefSeq and is a predicted model, not a curated record. The transcript is spliced from 2 exons. Lineage: Eukaryota; Viridiplantae; Streptophyta; Magnoliopsida; Caryophyllales; Amaranthaceae.